RNAcentral lists this ribosomal RNA (523 nucleotides) under uncultured bacterium. RNAcentral's name for it is "bacterial SSU rRNA". It matches the Rfam family "Bacterial small subunit ribosomal RNA", at positions 777 to 1300 of the family's 1533-position model. The record is from RNAcentral.
GAUAGAUACCCCGGUAGUCCAUGCCGUAAACGUUGGGAACUAGAUGUGGGGACCAUUCCACGGUCUCCGUGUCGCAGCUAACGCAUUAAGUUCCCCGCCUGGGGAGUACGGCCGCAAGGCUAAAACUCAAAGGAAUUGACGGGGGCCCGCACAAGCGGCGGAGCAUGCGGAUUAAUUCGAUGCAACGCGAAGAACCUUACCAAGGCUUGACAUAUACGAGAACGCUGCAGAAAUGUAGAACUCUUUGGACACUCGUAUACAGGUGGUGCAUGGUUGUCGUCAGCUCGUGUCGUGAGAUGUUGGGUUAAGUCCCGCAACGAGCGCAACCCUCGUCGUAUGUUGCCAGCACGUAAUGGUGGGAACUCAUAUGAGACUGCCGGGGUCAACUCGGAGGAAGGUGGGGAUGAGGUCAAAUCAUCAUGCCCCUUAUGUCUUGGGCUUCACGCAUGCUACAAUGGCCGGUACAAAGGGCUGCAAUACCGCAAGGUGGAGCGAAUCCCAAAAGCGGUCUCAGUUCGGAUUG